Molecule: ribosomal RNA, 385 nt
Filed under: uncultured bacterium
Lineage: Bacteria
Description: bacterial SSU rRNA
Rfam family: Bacterial small subunit ribosomal RNA
Source: RNAcentral
ACGAACGCUGGCGGCGUGCUUAACACAUGCAAGUCGAGCGGUAAGGCCCUUUCGGGGGUACACGAGCGGCGAACGGGUGAGUAACACGUGGGUGACCUGCCCUUAGCUCUGGGAUAAGCCUGGGAAACUGGGUCUAAUACCGGAUAUGACUCCAUGACGCAUGUUGUGGGGUGGAAAGCCUUGUGCGGCUAGGGAUGGGCCUGCGGCCUAUCAGCUUGUUGGUGGGGUGAUGGCCACCAAGGCGACGACGGGUAGCCGGCCUGAGAGGGCGACCGGCCACACUGGGACUGAGACACGGCCCAGACUCCUACGGGAGGCAGAAGUGGGGAAUCUUGCGCAAUGGGCGAAAGCCUGACGCAGCGACGCCGCGUGGGGAUGACGGCCU